This 447-nucleotide ribosomal RNA is filed under the name uncultured bacterium. RNAcentral describes it as "bacterial SSU rRNA". It matches the Rfam family "Bacterial small subunit ribosomal RNA", at positions 331 to 794 of the family's 1533-position model. The record is from RNAcentral.
CCAGACUCCUACGGGAGGCAGCAGUCGGGAAUAUUGCGCAAUGGCGGAAACUCUGAUGCAGUGACACCGCGUAUAGGAAGAAGGUUUUCGGAUUGUAAACUAUUUUAGACAGGGAAGAAAAAAGACAGUACCUGUAGAAUAAGCUCCGGCUAACUACGUGCCAGCAGCCGCGGUAAUACGUAGGGGGCAAGCGUUAUCCGGAUUUACUGGGUGUAAAGGGGGCGCAGACGGCGAUGCAAACCAGGAGUGAAAGGCCGGGGCCCAACCCCGGGACUGCUCUUGGAACUGCGUGGCUGGAGUGCAGGAGGGGCAGGCGGAAUUCCUGGUGUAGCGGUGAAAUGCGUAGAUAUCAGGAGGAACACCGGUGGCGAAGGCGGCCUGCUGGACUGCAACUGACGUUGAGGCCCGAAAGCGUGGGGAGCAAACAGGAUUAGAUACCCCGGUAAA